This 614-nucleotide ribosomal RNA is filed under the name Escherichia coli. RNAcentral describes it as "bacterial LSU rRNA". It matches the Rfam family "Bacterial large subunit ribosomal RNA", at positions 909 to 1524 of the family's 2925-position model. Lineage: Bacteria; Pseudomonadati; Pseudomonadota; Gammaproteobacteria; Enterobacterales; Enterobacteriaceae. The record is from RNAcentral.
ACUGUUUCGGCAAGGGGGUCAUCCCGACUUACCAACCCGAUGCAAACUGCGAAUACCGGAGAAUGUUAUCACGGGAGACACACGGCGGGGGCUAACGUCCGUCGUGAAGAGGGAAACAACCCAGACCGCCAGCUAAGGUCCCAAAGUCAUGGUUAAGUGGGAAACGAUGUGGGAAGGCCCAGACAGCCAGGAUGUUGGCUUAGAAGCAGCCAUCAUUUAAAGAAAGCGUAAUAGCUCACUGGUCGAGUCGGCCUGCGCGGAAGAUGUAACGGGGCUAAACCAUGCACCGAAGCUGCGGCAGCGACGCUUAUGCGUUGUUGGGUAGGGGAGCGUUCUGUAAGCCUGCGAAGGUGUGCUGUGAGGCAUGCUGGAGGUAUCAGAAGUGCGAAUGCUGACAUAAGUAACGAUAAAGCGGGUGAAAAGCCCGCUCGCCGGAAGACCAAGGGUUCCUGUCCAACGUUAAUCGGGGCAGGGUGAGUCGACCCCUAAGGCGAGGCCGAAAGGCGUAGUCGAUGGGAAACAGGUUAAUAUUCCUGUACUUGGUGUUACUGCGAAGGGGGGACGGAGAAGGCUAUGUUGGCCGGGCGACGGUUGUCCCGGUUUAAGCGUGUAGG